AAAGAUGGACGCUAGGAAAGCCAGUGUAGGUUUACUGCCUUUUUGUAAAAUUAUGUUUUCAAGUAUAAGUACAUAGCCUUUGGAGAUUAGCUCCCGGCCGAAUAAAACAUGUAAGAUUUGGUAAUGUGUUUUGAACCGUAUGUGGNNNNNNNNNNNNNNNNNNNNNNNNNNNNNNNNNNNNNNNNNNNNNNNNNNNNNNNNNNNNNNNNNNNNNNNNNNNNNNNNNNNNNNNNNNNNNNNNNNNNGGUUGGCUCUUAAUGAUUAUGGUCUAGUCCGGGCCGUCCAAACAUUCGCUCACGGUAAGGGUUGGCAAGCCUGGAUCCGUGUUCGAGUGGGAUGACCUCGUGGUACGGUCGACUAAGGUGACCGAAUUCGUUUCGAGAACCUCGGUUGACUGUCCGCGUGAGUUAUCACGUAGCAUCUGAGGCCGUUCUAUCUCUAGAACGGUUCGGGGGUGUUACAAGUUUGGUAUCAGAGCAUGGUUAAUGAUGCUCAUGGGAACCAACCAGUUUUCAACCGUUUUAUCGAGUAAAAGAGUCGCAAAAAGGCAUUAGGAUAAACUGGCGCGUCCAUGCUUAUUAUAGGUAGUUGGGAUUAGGACUUACCCUUUGUGAUCAUGCAGAUGUCUGGACAAGGAUUUAGCAGAGGUCGGUCGUGGGAAUUGCCACCUGGAUUUGGGAAUUGGGACUUUGGAUACCAAAACAAUGUUAGCGAUGGUAGCACAAAUGUUCGCAAUGGUGCAGAGAACAAGUCAGUAGACUUGUCACUUUCAGUAGGAUCGAUAGCCGAAAGAUAUGCUAAUAUGCCUAGGCCGGAGGAGUAUAGACCUCGAUCACCAAGACCAGAACGAGUUUCACCACCGAGACCCAUGUCUGUUUCCGAUGGGAAUGAGAAUCCCCAAGAAAUUCCUCAAGAGGAGCCUCGGAUGAAUCAGAAUCCCCGAGGUAUGAAUCCAAGGAAUGAACCUCAGGGACAAGUUCCCGCACCAGGAAAUCCGCCACCAAGAAUGCCGGAGGAGAACCCGAUCAUAAACUUAAUGUACGGGAUGAUGGAUCAAAUGAAGCAACAACAACAAAUGGUAAUCAAUACGCAGUCAGGACCACCACCGCCACCAAAGUAUCAUGACAUGGUCAUAAUGAUGAAGAACAUGGGCACAUACAAGUUUCCGGGAAGCACCAACCCUUAUGACGCAGAUACAUGGAUGCAAGACCUCGAAAGAAAUUUUGAAGCAACCCGAUGUCCGGAAGGAUAUAGAAAGGACAUCGCAGCCCAUUACUUAGAGCAGGAUGCCCUAACCUGGUGGAAGAAUGUUGUAGCUCGUUAUGUUAUGGAACCGACUUGGAUGGAUUUCCGACGUGAAUUUCAGAGGAAGUAUUUCCCACCCGAAGAGAGAGAUCGACUUGAAACGCAAUUCUUACAACUUGAACAAGGAGGAAGAAAAGUACGAGAUUAUGAAGCCGAGUUUGCCCGACUCCUCAAAUACACUAAUUAUGGUAACGGAGAUGAGCAAGUGGUGAUACGUAAAUUCCUUCGUGGAUUACGUCCCUCCAUUCGAAGCCGUCUCAAUGUGGUAGAGUUCCGAAGCUAUUAUGAAGUUGUGGAAAGAGCCGUAAAUGUAGAAGAAGGAAUUUUAGCCGAAAGGGAAGAGAUGAGAUCAAUGAAGAUUACAAAUGAACCAGUUCAGAAAUUCAAGUAUAGCCAAGGACAGACCAAGAAUUCACCUAAAAGCCGAGAGAAAGAUCAAAAAGGGAGAACCGGAAAUUCUCCAGUGUUGUGUUACAAUUGUAACCAGCCAGGACACUAUGCUCGAAGUUGUCCUAAUAAGGAAGGAGCAAGACCAAAUGGGUUUGCUCCAGAUGUGGUAUGUUUUGCUUGCAACUAUAAGGGCCAUUAUGCAAGUCAAUGCCCAAUGAAAGGUGACCUAGCCGGAAAAAUUUAUGGAAAGCCAAGAAACCACCCUGCACCGACCCGUCCUGCUAAUGAGUCCGCAUCUAAAAAGCAAGCUACUGGAGCUAGAAUUAACGCUAUAGAUAUAGAUAAUGCUGACCUUCCAGGACCUUAUAAAGGUCUCAUUGCAGGUAUGUUUGGGUUCUAACUUAUACUCCUUUUUACCGUGUUUUUGCAUGUGGUUGUUUUGCCUUUUUCCUAGUUUUAUGUUUGUGCGCCAAUUUGGUAAGCAGGAACUUUACGUGUUGGUGGAAAUCCCACUCACGUAUUGUUUGACUCGGGAGCGACCGACAGUUUCGUAACUCCCGAGACUGCUUCCAAAUUCAAAGGAACCUUUGCCCGUAACAAGGCAAAUGUUUCUGUUCGAACCCCUGGAAAUCUAGUCCUUAAAGCAGAAGAGAUCAUUUUAGGAGUACCCGUAGAAAUCCUUGAGAAUGCCUUCCUAGCUAAUCUUCUGGUAAUACCAUUAGAACGCUACGAAGUCAUUUUAGGUAUGGAUUGGUUGUCCGGUCACCAAGUCCAUAUAGAUUGUGGGAAAGGUAGGAUUUCGUUCGAAGGAAGACACCAAAAACCAAUAACCUACCACGGAUUAAACCCCAGCCUAGCAGUAUCGCUUGUGUCUGCUUUGAGAGUAGAAAAAGAGUUAGAAACCGGAGAAGCCUAUUUAGUCACUUUAACAGUUCUUGGAAACGACCCCGAAGAUGGAGUAAAGAUUGAAGAUAUUCCUAUUGUUCGAGAAUAUGAAGACGUUUUCAAGCCAUUAGAAGGUUUACCUCCACCCCGAAACAAUUGUUUUACCAUCAACCUUGAACCCGGAGCAGCACCAAUAGCAAAGGCUCCUUAUCGGAUGGCUCCAGCUGAACUCUCAGAGUUGAAACAGCAAUUGGAAGAUUUACUGGAUAAAGGAUUUAUACGACCUAGUUCUUCACCGUGGGGAGCUCCAGUAUUGUUUGUGAAAAAGAAGGAUGGGAGUAUGAGACUAUGCAUUGACUACCGAGGGAUCAAUAAUGUCACGAUAAAGGACAAGUAUCCUUUACCGCGAAUCGAUGAAUUGUUGGACCAGUUAAGGGGAGCUGCAUGGUUCUCCAAGAUCGAUUUAGCUUCAGGAUAUCACCAAAUUCCCAUUAGUGAAGAUGACAUCAUAAAGACAGCUUUUAGAACAAGAUAUGGGCAGUAUGAGUUCGUAGUGAUGCCGUUCGGACUCACCAAUGCCCCAGCGGCAUUCAUGCGACUCAUGAACGAGGUAUUUCAUGAUUACCUCGAUGCCUUUGUCAUUAUUUUCAUAGAUGAUAUUCUCAUCUAUUCUCGAAGUAAAGAAGAACACAGAGAACACCUCCGAAAGGUGUUGGAACGUUUAAGAAGUCAUCGAUUAUUUGCUAAGUUUAGUAAAUGUCGAUUUUGGGAGCAAGAGAUAGGAUUUCUUGGACACCGAGUAUCCGCUCAAGGAGUGUCCGUUGAUCCAGAAAAGAUUAGUGUAAUUCAAGACUGGCCGCAACCUACUACUGCUACAGAAAUAAGAAGCUUCCUUGGCCUAGCAGGCUAUUAUCGGAAAUUUGUUCGAGGAUUUUCUUCCAUUUCUAAGCCCUUGACACGAUUGACCGGUAAAGGAAUUCCAUUUAUUUGGAACGAAGAUACGGCGAAAGCAUUUACUAAAUUAAAGGAAGCCUUGACCACGGCACCAGUUUUGGCUUUGCCCGAACCAGGACAACCCUAUACCGUGUAUACCGAUGCCUCUCGCAUAGGCUUAGGAUGUGUAUUGAUGCAAGGAAAGAAAGUCAUAGCAUAUGCAUAAAGACAACUCAGGAAGCACGAAGAGAACUAUCCUACUCAUGACCUUGAAAUGGCUGCCGUAGUGUUUGCACUCAAGAUAUGGAGAUCAUACCUAUACGGAGAAACUAUCGAAGUAUUUACGGAUCAUAAAAGCCUCAAAUACUUAUUUACUCAACCCGACUUAAAUCUACGACAAAGACGAUGGAUGGAGUUCAUUGCCGACUACGACCUAAAGAUUCAAUAUCACCCGGGAAAGGCGAACGUUGUAGCAGAUGCUUUAAGUCGUAGGAAGCUGGAGAUAGACGCCGAAAAAGACCUUGAAGUUUUGAACCAAGAAUUGAAAAAUGUUAGUCUAGCUGCCAUAGAUGGAGAACCUAGCGAACCAUUAGGAAUGCAAGCCGUACGUCAAGCCGGCCUACUUCAACGAAUCAAAAAAGAACAAGGAAAGGAUGUGAAUCUCAAGAAAAUUACAGAGGAAGUUAAGAACCAAGGAGGAAGAAAUGCUAGUGGAUACCACUUAGCCGAUGAUGGAACCAUACUACUUAAUGGGAGGAUCACAGUACCCGACCGAGAGGGUUUAAGAGACGAAAUUCUUGAGUUGGCACAUCAUACCCGAUUUAGUAUUCACCCUGGAAGCGUAAAGAUGUAUAAAGAUUUAAAGAGAUAUUACCAUUGGCCCGGAAUGAAGCGAGCAGUAGGAAAAUGGGUAUCUCAAUGUCAGACAUGCCAGCAAGUUAAAACAGAACAUCAAGUGCCAGCCGGACUAUUAAGGAAUCUACCUAUUCCGGUAUGGAAGUGGGAAUCUAUUGCCAUGGAUUUUGUUGUAGGGAUGCCACCGUCAAAGGGAAAUUAUGAUGCGAUUUGGGUAAUCGUAGACCGCUUAACCAAAGUUGCUCAUUUAUUACCCGUCAAUCAUGAAGAUGGAUCGGAGAGAUUGGCAGAGCAAUACGUAAACAAGAUUGUACCUCUCCAUGGCGUACCUGCAAACAUUGUAUCAGAUCGUGACCCGAGAUUCUCAGCUUCUUUUUGGAAAGAGUUUCAACAAGCCUUAGGAACCAACGUAUUCAUGAGUACCGCUUAUCACCCAGAGACGGAUGGCCAAACCGAACGGACCAUUCGUACCAUUGAAGAUAUGCUCCGAAUGUGUGUUCUCGACUGGGGAAAAGGAUGGAAACCCCAUUUACCCUUAGUCGAGUUUUCGUACAACAACAGUUACCAUGCAAGCAUUGGCAUGGCCCCAUUUGAAGCUCUUUACGGAAGACCAUGUCGAACACCAUUAUGUUGGACAGAGGUUUGGCGAGAAGAAGGAAUUCAGAACGACAUAAUUGAAGAAACUAUGGAGAAGGUUAAAAUGAUUCAGGAAAAUAUGAAGAAAGCGCAAGAUCGUCAAAAGAAGUACGCCGAUCAAAAGAGACGAGAAGUAGAAUUCACAGUAGGAGACAUGGUCUACCUUAAAGUUGUAGCUAUUAAAGGAAAAGGAAAGGAUUGUUUUGGGAAGACCGACAAACUUGGGAAACGGUAUGAGGGACCGUUCCCUAUCAUCGCAAGAGUUGGCGAAGUCGCUUACCGUUUAGCUUUACCUAAGACCAUGGGCAUUCACCCUGUGUUCCAUGUGUCUAUGCUACGGAAGCAUAUUCCAGACCCUCGCAAGAGAGAGAAUCCACCAAGGAUUGAGGAGCCCCAAGAAGAUAUCGUAUACCCACAAGGACCGUUAAGAAUUGGAGCCAGACGUAUAAGGAAACUUCGAAACAAGAAAAUUCCCCAAAUCCAAGUAACAUGGGGAAAACAACACCGCGAAGAAGAAACAUGGGAAGAUGAGGCUGCUUUCCGAAAGAAACAUCCGGAGUUUUUCAUGGAGGAGGGGAACGAUGAUGGAGCAGGACCAUCAGAACUAUUUAGAAUUCGGGACGAAUUCUAAUAAGGAGGGGAGAAUGUAAUACUCCUCACCCGGAUUAUGUACAGAAGAUCAUGCAGUAUGGUAACGUUCGAUCCAACCUUAGUACCUUCCAUUGGUAAGGCUAUCUAGUAAAGUGUUAGCAGCUUGGGUCAAGUUUCCAAGAGUGUUUAGUGACUUAGGCAUAUUUGGUUAGGAAAAAUUAGAUUUUGUCCGUUAGAUUUAUAAUCGGUGCGAUAAGGAUCGUUUAGGUAUGUUCGGUGGUCGGAAAAUCUCUCGGUACGGCCGUGUACCGUGUGCGAAUGGAACGGACGGCCAAGGAGUGGCCAAGUAAGCUGCUUAAAGGGUUAAGCCGCCUUACUGUUUGGAUAAGGACGACCUCUCAGUCGUGUGCGACCGUGAUUGGUCCGUCCGUCCGUGCUUAUCCAUUCGUUGAGCUUAUCCGAUCGUUGUUCUUAUCCUUAUCCGUUAGUGAAGCUUAUCCAUUUCCAAAUCCGAACCUAUAAAUACCCCCCCCUUCGUCCAUCACUCUUCACUUCCACUCCAAAACCACCAAAAAGUUCCUUGCUUGCACUAGGAGCUCUCGGAGAGACCUUCAGCCGCCGAUCGAGUUUCUGUGAGUUCCGGUCGUGUGUGGUAGCACGCGACUAGGUUUAUUUAAUUGUUUAAGUUAUUAUUUAAUAUUCAUUUAGUAGUUAUUUAAAUAAUUUAUUUAUUUAAAUAUUAUUUUAGUAUGAGGUUAAGUUUUCUUACUUAACCUAAUUCCAAGUGAUAUCUUUGUGAUGAUUACUUGUUGGUGUGUGAUGAUAUUGGUUAUGCUUAUGCAUUGUGUGGGUUGAAUAAUUAGUAAUAGCGGGGUCGUGCUAUCCUCGUCGUAUAUGGUACGUUAAGUAACGUGAUCAUAUACGAGGCUCGGGGCCGGGUCGCGACGGACCGAGCGACUACAUGACGAUGUAGAUUUAAGGAAUGACAGAUCUUCUAUAGACUCAGUGUCUAGAAGUGUAGGGCAUUGCCUUGAGGAUAUCAUUGAUCGGUAGAGAAGGCCUUACAAGGGAUAGUGGAUACAUUCAUAUUAGCGUUAUUCGUAACAUUUUAUCGAUUGUGGCCGUAGUGCCGUCUUGUGCUCAUGAAUAUUAUAUUGCUUGUGAUUGGGGAAAUUGGGGUUGGGUUUACUAAUGGUAGAGAUCCCGGACUCACUGAGUAAUGCUAGAUUACUCAUGAUACUACCAUAUUUGUUUUGCAGGUAACCAGUAGAGGGUUGUUGUAGAGGGAAAGAUGGACGCUAGGAAAGCCAGUGUAGGUUUACUGCCUUUUUGUAAAAUUAUGUUUUCAAGUAUAAGUACAUAGCCUUUGGAGAUUAGCUCCCGGCCGAAUAAAACAUGUAAGAUUUGGUAAUGUGUUUUGAACCGUAUGUGGUAUAUAUUAUGUAUAAUAAGGAUGUUUUAUAUAUCGCGGUUGGCUCUUAAUGAUUAUGGUCUAGUCCGGGCCGUCCAAACAUUCGCUCACGGUAAGGGUUGGCAAGC
Molecule: long non-coding RNA, 7134 nt
Filed under: Capsella rubella
Lineage: Eukaryota; Viridiplantae; Streptophyta; Magnoliopsida; Brassicales; Brassicaceae
Description: long non-coding RNA (CRUB_LNC002236)
Source: RNAcentral